GAUGAACGCUGGCGGCGUGCUUAACACAUGCAAGUCGAACGAAGCACUUUAUUUGAUUUCCUUCGGGACUGAUUAUUUUGUGACUGAGUGGCGGACGGGUGAGUAACGCGUGGGUAACCUGCCUUGUACAGGGGGAUAACAGUUGGAAACGGCUGCUAAUACCGCAUAAGCGCACGGCAUCGCAUGAUGCAGUGUGAAAAACUCCGGUGGUAUAAGAUGGACCCGCGUUGGAUUAGCUAGUUGGUGAGGUAACGGCCCACCAAGGCGACGAUCCAUAGCCGACCUGAGAGGGUGCCCGGCCACAUUGGGACUGAGACACGGCCCAAACUCCUACGGGAGGCAGCAGUGGGGAAUAUUGCAAAAUGGGCGAAAGCCUGAUGCAGCGACGCCGCGUGAGCGAAGAAGUAUUUCGGUAUGUAAAGCUCUAUCAGCAGGGAAGAUAAUGACGGUACCUGAAUAAGAAGCACCGGCUAAAUACGUG
This 481-nucleotide ribosomal RNA is filed under the name uncultured bacterium. Its description in RNAcentral is "partial 16S ribosomal RNA". It matches the Rfam family "Bacterial small subunit ribosomal RNA", at positions 28 to 507 of the family's 1533-position model. The record is from RNAcentral.